This 253-nucleotide ribosomal RNA is filed under the name uncultured bacterium. RNAcentral describes it as "partial 16S ribosomal RNA". It matches the Rfam family "Bacterial small subunit ribosomal RNA", at positions 524 to 776 of the family's 1533-position model. The record is from RNAcentral.
UACGGAGGGUGCAAGCGUUAUCCGGAUUCACUGGGUUUAAAGGGUGCGUAGGCGGGUUGGUAAGUCCGUGGUGAAAUCUCCAAGCUUAACUCGGAAACUGCCGUUGAUACUAUCUGUCUUGAAUACCGUGGAGGUGAGCGGAAUAUGUCAUGUAGCGGUGAAAUGCUUAGAUAUGACAUAGAACACCAAUUGCGAAGGCAGCUCGCUACACGAAUAUUGACUCUGAGGCACGAAAGCGUGGGGAUCAAACAGG